This 72-nucleotide transfer RNA is filed under the name Alosa alosa (allis shad). RNAcentral's name for it is "tRNA-Phe". It matches the Rfam family "tRNA". From Rfam's summary of the family: Transfer RNA (tRNA) molecules are approximately 80 nucleotides in length. Their secondary structure includes four short double-helical elements and three loops (D, anti-codon, and T loops). The record is from RNAcentral. Lineage: Eukaryota; Metazoa; Chordata; Actinopteri; Clupeiformes; Clupeidae.
GCCGAAAUAGCUCAGUUGGGAGGCGUUAGAUUGAAAAUCUAAAGAUCCCUGGUUCGAAUCGAGGUUCCGGCA